This 1521-nucleotide long non-coding RNA is filed under the name Nicotiana benthamiana. RNAcentral describes it as "long non-coding RNA (NBEN_LNC013149)". Lineage: Eukaryota; Viridiplantae; Streptophyta; Magnoliopsida; Solanales; Solanaceae. The record is from RNAcentral.
GUGGGGGGGAGGAGGGGAGAGUCUGAGAUUUGGAGAGAAAAUUUUUUAAGAAAAAUCCUUAGUUUUCUCCUUUGAGUUCUUCUACAUUUUUUCAGAUUGAUGCCGGAGAAGAAGGUUUUAAAAAACAUUUCAGUUUCUUUUUGCUUUGGUCUUAGUUUCUGUUACUUUGUAAGUGUCCACCAAAUUGUAGAGUACCUGGUUCUCUACAAGUUUCUGCUGAGAGCACUUAGUAAAGCAGUAAGUAAAUGAGGCAGAGUAUUUUAACGUAGAACAAUCAUGCACAAGGGUAUCAAAAAAUCAUGACCUUCCCAGUAGGCUAUAGAUGAUUUUUUUAUGUGCAAAAAUCUCGCACAGGGGAUCAAAAAACCACGACCUACACUGUAGGCUUUUAACUUCACUAACUUGUAAUCUUACCUAUUGCAAGCUACUUUAUAAUACUUCCGAUUGCCAAGGAUUUACUCAACUAACUUGUGGUACCUCUACCACAAGCCACUUUGUGACUUUCCUAGUUACAAAGGCUUUUUCUAACUUAUGGUGUUGUCACCAUAAGCCACUUUGUAACUCUAUAAUUACAAAGAAUUUUCCUUAUGACUAAAUCUAGUCACAACUUAAACUCAAUGAGUUUACGAAGUUCCUAAUCAGUAUGCUUCUAAGUAAGCGAUCUAGGAGAUAUAGUAAGUACAAUAACAAUGGUUUUUCUAUUUUUUCUAAAGGCUUGAAUAAAAAAUAGAAACAUUCUAGUGAUGUUUUUGUGUAAAGCCCCAUUGGUACAUCUUGAUCACACCACUUGAAAUGAUGUGAGUACUUUGUUUGGUUAGAGAAUGAGUGGGCUGAUAGUGUAGUGCACUGUGGCAAAAACAGUACCAUCAGUCACUUCAGUUCCAGCUAUGUCCAAUUGACUCUGUACUGCUAUAUAGAAACCACAAGAGUAUCAGGUCCUUGUUUGGUUCCUAGCUCAUGAGUCUGUAGCAGUUCAUCUUUAACCAGAGUCCGUUAAAGUUUGUAGCAAUUCAAAGUAGGCUAGGUUCCCUAACUGGUUCUGAGCAGUAAGUUUGUUAGAUCAUCAAAACAUAAGGCAAAAGUGUUUAAGAUCUGUCAAUUUCCCCCCUUUUUGAUAUGACAAACUUAACAAUCAUAAAGUCAGAAUUGGGCAGUAAAAUAAAAGAUAGGUGUUAAACCGGUGGGCCGGGCCGGGUUGCUAUUUUUUGGACCCGUACGGGUUAUGGUCUGGGUUGGUUACAGGUUGGGGCUUAAUGGGUUUAACGGGUUCAGGUUCAUCCAGGUAAAAAUUGAACUGUAAGGAUUACAGGUUAAGGGGUCGGGUCAGGCCGGGUUUAGUGUAUUUUUUAAUUUAUUUUCUAUUUUGUAUAACUAUUGUAAGUUAUAUUAAUACUUUGUAUUAAUUUAAAGAUUACAAGUUAUGUUAAUACUUUGUAUUAAUAUAAAUCAAGUGCUACAUUUAUUUCAAAAUUCAAAAUUAAAGUUUACAUUUAAAAAGUAAAUUAACAAAAAAAUAGUAAA